GAUUGAAAGACAAUGAUUUCUUGUACAAUGUUACAUUUUCUUACUCAAUUAGAAGUACAUGUACAUGUAAAAAUGUUGGUCUAGAUAAAGUAGACAACAAUAUGUUGCAAGGAUGUGUUUACAAUCUGAUCAGUUUAGUUUCCACUUCACUGGUUGUUAUGCUUCAUAUUGUACAAGGAAGCUUUUAAAAUGAAUACAUGUAUUCAUACACACGCUCAUAUGCUUGAAAAUUAUUAAACCUAAUUUAAUUCUAGAUAAAAAAAAGAACCAUAAACAUUGCAAAUUCAAGCAGCAGUUAUUUGUUUCAACAUUUGUUUAAAGAGGGAAAGUGUAUUUGAAAAAAAUUAAAAGAAGUGAAGAAAAUGUAGCAUUCUUUCUAACUUUGUAAAGUUAGAGUUAUUCCUCUUGGAUCAUGUGUAAGGGUUAACACUGGUACAGUUCAUGUUCAUGUGCAUGGUGAAUAUGUUUCUGCUUGUGUGCUUGUUUUGCUUUGUUUGUCAGACAAUGUUUUGAUUAAAAUCACCUGACCCUCACAUGUAAAUAUAAUGUACUCCAAUGUCUGAUAAAAUUGUGAUAAUUAUGUCUGCUGCCCGGCAUGACUCAUUCAAUGAUGUUAUUAUCAUUAUUUUGAUAAAAUUUAUAAAAGUACAGAUUUAUAAUAAAAAAAAUUAGGAUUUCGAAAUGGAUCCAAAAGUAAAGUAAUAUUUAAAUGAAAGAUGUAGACAAAAAAAUAUGAAAAAAGAGUACAACAUAUAUGAUUCUACCCCUGAUUAAUAUGAUAUUAUAUCAUAUUAAUCAGGGCAGGAUCCAGAAUUAUGAAAGGGAGAGGGGCAUAUUUACAUAAAACGGAUUAUAUAAAGGUGAUUUAAGUAAGGAGAAAGUUUUCUGGAUGAUGUAAUUUUAUGCUAAAAGCAUAUAAAUUGUGAAUAACAUGAUAAAUUUAUUUAAAAUUGGCGAUUGAAGGGGUGGCAUACUCUCUCUACGUGGCC
This 989-nucleotide long non-coding RNA is filed under the name Mytilus galloprovincialis (Mediterranean mussel). Lineage: Eukaryota; Metazoa; Mollusca; Bivalvia; Mytilida; Mytilidae. The record is from RNAcentral.